AGAUACAAUAGUACAAUACCAGCACAUUCUUGGGGAGGGGAAUAAGUUAAUAAAUUAUCUAGCUAAUUAUGUAAUUGAGGAAGGGAACUUCCCAUGAACAAGCUUUCAGCAUCUAAAAGUUACCGGAAAAAAAUUACUUAAUAGUGACAAAUCACAAGUUCCAUAUUUAAGAGUGUCACCACAAAGAAAGUGAGAGGCUGAUAGGUUAAAGCUUACAAGGUCCAUAAUUAAAUAUUUACAAGUCAUGAAAGGCUAAAAAAAAAGUGCAAAGCUAACUAACCUAUAUUAUAGCAACCAACAAACUGGACUCGCAGCAAAAAGAAAGGAUCAGUGUGUCAGAAUAGAAUUGGUUAACUUGAGAUAUGGGUUAGUUUCUAAAUACUUGUGGUUCCAAGCAUCCCACUAUCUUCAUACUAGCUGUAUCUGUCAUUGUAGAAGGGUUAGAGCAAGAAUGAAGAAUAGAUUAGCAAGAUUAAGGCCAAGUUGCUUACUCAAAAAUGGUAACAAUAUCCAGAUGACAAAAUCCGUUAAGAAAGCAUAAAAAGUUGUUAUUGGUCCCAUCCACCAGAGAGCACAACUAUUGAACACUAAAUUAAAGGAUAAUCAGCUAAAGAAUCAACUCAAGAGCAAAAAUGGAAAAAGUUAAAAGAACUUACUUCUGCAAGCUAAUAAAAGCAAGCAUGUGCAACAUCCAUGGUACCGUGUUUAUCACCAAGAGCCGAAGAAAGAUGAACUGAAGGCUGAAGGCUGAACAAUGAAGGCAGCAGCAUGAAAUUUUAGAUGGGAGAUGGGGAAAAUGGGGAAAUGCUUUAGGAAACCCUAUAGAUUCGGUUAUAUGUAAUAAGCU
RNAcentral lists this long non-coding RNA (847 nucleotides) under Capsicum annuum. RNAcentral's name for it is "long non-coding RNA (CANN_LNC010607)". Lineage: Eukaryota; Viridiplantae; Streptophyta; Magnoliopsida; Solanales; Solanaceae. The record is from RNAcentral.